AUUUAAUUUUGAACGAGUGGCGGACGGGUGAGUAACACGUGGGUAACCUGCCCUUAAGUGGGGGAUAACAUUUGGAAACAGAUGCUAAUACCGCAUAAAUCCAAGAACCGCAUGGUUCUUGGCUGAAAGAUGGCGUAAGCUAUCGCUUUUGGAUGGACCCGCGGCGUAUUAGCUAGUUGGUGAGGUAACGGCUCACCAAGGCAAUGAUACGUAGCCGAACUGAGAGGUUGAUCGGCCACAUUGGGACUGAGACACGGCCCAAACUCCUACGGGAGGCAGCAGUAGGGAAUCUUCCACAAUGGACGCAAGUCUGAUGGAGCAACGCCGCGUGAGUGAAGAAGGCUUUCGGGUCGUAAAACUCUGUUGUUGGAGAAGAAUGGUCGGCAGAGUAACUGUUGUCGGCGUGACGGUAUCCAACCAGAAAGCCACGGCUAACUACGUGCCAGCAGCCGCGGUAAUACGUAGGUGGCAAGCGUUAUCCGGAUUUAUUGGGCGUGAAGCGAGCGCAGGCGGUUUUUUAAGUCUGAUGUGAAAGCCCUCGGCUUAACCGAGGAAGUGCAUCGGAAACUGGAAAACUUGAGUGCAGAAGAGGACAGUGGAACUCCAUGUGUAGCGGUGAAAUGCGUAGAUAUAUGGAAGAACACCAGUGGC
This 651-nucleotide ribosomal RNA is filed under the name uncultured Bacilli bacterium. RNAcentral describes it as "bacterial SSU rRNA". It matches the Rfam family "Bacterial small subunit ribosomal RNA", at positions 79 to 716 of the family's 1533-position model. Lineage: Bacteria; Bacillati; Bacillota; Bacilli. The record is from RNAcentral.